CGGCCAGACUCCUACGGGAGGCAGCAGUGAGGAAUAUUGGUCAAUGGGCGAGAGCCUGAACCAGCCAAGUCGCGUGAAGGAUGACGGCCCUACGGGUUGUAAACUUCUUUUGUCAGGGAGCAAUUGGGUCCACGCGUGGGCUUAGCGAGAGUACCUGAAGAAAAAGCAUCGGCUAACUCCGUGCCAGCAGCCGCGGUAAUACGGAGGAUGCGAGCGUUAUCCGGAUUUAUUGGGUUUAAAGGGUGCGCAGGCGGAUUUUUAAGUCAGCGGUCAAAUCGUGGGGCUCAACCCCAUCCAGCCGUUGAAACUGGCGGCCUCGAGUGGGCGAGAAGUAUGCGGAAUGCGUGGUGUAGCGGUGAAAUGCAUAGAUAUCACGCAGAACUCCGAUUGCGAAGGCAGCAUACCGGCGCCCGACUGACGCUGAGGCACGAAAGCGUGGGUAUCGAACAGGAUUAGAUACCCCCGUAU
Molecule: ribosomal RNA, 468 nt
Filed under: uncultured bacterium
Lineage: Bacteria
Description: bacterial SSU rRNA
Rfam family: Bacterial small subunit ribosomal RNA
Source: RNAcentral